Long non-coding RNA from Armigeres subalbatus, 2194 nucleotides. RefSeq lists it as uncharacterized. The record is from RefSeq and is a predicted model, not a curated record. The transcript has 3 exons. NCBI's taxonomy places the organism in Eukaryota, Metazoa, Arthropoda, Insecta, Diptera, Culicidae.
GUUUUUGUUAUGUUUUUCUGUUUUUCCCUCGCGUGCCGCACAGCAACAACUUUUUCGGUUGUUCUUUUUUAUUUAUUUAAAGGUUAUUUAAACGAGGUCGUGAAAAGUGGCAUGUUCAUUUUUGGAUGUUUACCAAGUAUUUGCUCAACCGGUACUUGCUGCGGGUUCAAAACGUUGAAACGUAUCCAGAGUCGUCUCCACAAAAGUGCUUUGGAAAUGAAAAUAUGUGUCCUGCUGUACGCUCCUGAUGGAGCUGGUGAAACCGACUUGGUGAAAAAUCAGGAAUCACAUCAACGACGACGGAACGAUUCACAACUAAGCGGGGACCAGAUCGCUGUCGUGAUUGAUUGCCCUCCAGGAAAGUUUGAGAAAAAAGGCGAGAAAUUUUCUCCACAUUUAACUGCUGCCGUAGCUUCAUUGCUUCACCUUUUGGAAUCUUUGGUCGCUCACAGGAACCAUCCAAGAGGAUGUAAGACUUCUGCAUCUAAUUAUCAGGACACAGCCGCUUUUUGCGUGUGUGUUAUUAUUUAAAAGAGGACGAAUCUGGACGAAUGAGGAGACGAAGUGGUAGUACACGCGGUGCCGCUUUGCCUAGCGGUUUUAUGUUAUCCUGCGGUUGGCUUUUCCGGAUUUAUUUUUAGCGCAUCCAGUGUUGAUCUCAGCGGAAGUGCCUUCUGCCAGCCAUCGCGCGUUUUAAGUUAAUAUUAAUUUAUAAGAAUAAAAUAAAAACAUAUUAUAAAUUUCGAAACCAAAACUAUUUUUUGUAUAUUUUAGAAUUGCCUAUUUACAAUACAAAUACUCAUAAUGAAAGUUCUUUCAUCUUGUUGUUUUGAAAGCAUUUUGUGAAUACAAAUGGAAAAACACUUUUUAUUUUGAGAGAAAACUGUUGCUUUGACAAACAGAUGAAUCUUGCUGAAACACAGUUUGUGCCUAAUUGAUUGCUAAGUUCCUUGAUUGCUUUAUUAGUUGGUUGGUUGCUUGAUUGAUCGUAGCUUGCUUGAAUGGUAAAAUGGUGAGUUCCUUGAUUGGUUGACUGGUUGGGUGCGUGAUUUGUUAGUUGGUUAAUUGGUUGGCUGCUUGAUUAAUUGGUGGGUUAUUUGGUUGGUCGGCUUGUUAGUUGAUUAGUUGUUUUGUUGGCUGCUUGAAUGGUUAAUUGGUUAGUUGGUUGGUUGAUUGAUUGAUUUGUUAGUUGGUGAAAUGAUUAUUUGCUUGAGUUAGUUGGUUGAUUGAUAGCUUGUUUGAUUCGUUAAUUGCUUGAUUGGUUAAUGGUUGCUUGAUUGAUUGGAAGUGGUCUUGAAUGAUUGUUUGCUUGAUUGGUUAGUUGUUUGAUUGGUUGGUUGCCUAAUUGGUUGGUUAGUUGCUUGAUAGGUUAAUUGGUUGCUUGAUUUAUUUUUUAUUUGAUUGGUAGCUUGCUUGAAUGGUUGAAUGAUUGGUUGCUUGGUUGAUUGGUAAGAUGCUUGAUAGGAUGGUUGUUUAAUAGGAUGGUUGCCUAAUUUAGUUUAUUGGUAGCUUGCUUGAAUGGUUGAUUUAUUGUUUUGUUGUUUGCUUGAAUGGUUUUCAUGUUGGUUGCUUGAAAAGUUGAUUGGGUUACUUGAUUGAUUAGUAGGAUGUUUGAUUAGUUUUUUGUUUCAUUGGUUGGUUGACAGGCUGGUGGGUUGGUAGGUUGUUUGAAUGGUUGGUUGGUUGAUUUGUUAGUUGGUUGAAUGGUUGGUUGGUAGCUCGCUUGAAUGCCUAAUUGUUUUAUUGGUUGGUUAGUUAUUUGGUAGCUUGCUUAAAUGGUUGAUUUAUUGGUUGCUUGGUUUUUUGGUUUGCUGGUUAGUUGAUUAUUUGAUUUUUGGUUGCUUGAUUGGUUGAUUAGUUGGUUGGUUGAUUGAUUGAUUAGUUGAUUUGUUAGUUGGUUAAAUGUUUAAUUGCUUGAUUGGUUGGAAGUUGAUUGGUAGCUUGCUUGAAUGGUUGGUUGGUUCAUUGGUAGAUUGGUUAAUGGUUGCAUGAUUAAUUGGAAGUGGGUUAGAAUGAUUGUUUGUUUGAUUGGUUAGUUGGUUACUUGAUUCGUUUGUUGUUUGGUUGAUUUGCUGGUUAAUUAGUUAUUUGAUUGGAUAAUUGGUUACUUUAUUGAUUGGUUGCUUGAUUGGUAACUUGCUUGAAUGGUUGGUUGCUUGAUUGGUUUAUUGGUUGGUUAGUUCACUGGUAUCUU